GCAAACACCAAGCAGGUGGCCAAUGGGAAACCUCUAGAGGGUAUUUGGGCCUGAGAAGAUUCUGUAUCUGGGGUUCUUGAGCUACUGCUUGGGCUCACUCCCACACUGUGAAGUGUACUUUCACUUUCAAUAAAUCUCUGCUUUCCUUGCUUUGCUGUGCGUUUUGUUCAAUUCUUUGUUCAAAACCCCAAGAAUCUGGACAACUUGCACUCAAGACCCUCUACCGGUUUGGCGAGCCAGAGACCAUGGAGCUUCAGAAGAUCAUGUGACAGGGUUUCCAGCCAGUUCCAGGUGAAGACACCACCCCUGGCCAUCAAGAAGUCACCCGGUCUCCACUAGACAGAGUAGGGUGAGAGUUCCGUGAUCUCCAACCGGUAGUGAUUAUGCCCCAAGUCAGCAUAAAGAAGUUACGGAAGAAAAACCGUCAGUCCCUCUGUCUCACAUAAAGACUUAUGGGGAUCACGUUUCUCAGAGGGGAGAUGAGGCAGGAGAAUAGGGUCUGGAGGCAGGGAACCUAAGGCCAUUUCACACUGACUUCUUAGAACUAAAUUGAAAGGAAAACCCUAAUUUUCCACGCCUAAGUAACCAGAGGCUACUCCCUUUGCAAACCCCCACCUUUUCUGUGUGGCAUAUGGGAAAUUGAAAGUACCUCUGAUUGAUUGUUUUCUGCAACCAAUCAGAUGUUUGCAUUGGAGUGUAACUUUGUAAUUUCACUUCAGUCUCUGAUUGGUUGCUGCAGUCUGGAAAUUC
Molecule: long non-coding RNA, 750 nt
Filed under: Pan troglodytes (chimpanzee)
Lineage: Eukaryota; Metazoa; Chordata; Mammalia; Primates; Hominidae
Description: long non-coding RNA NONPTRT004575
Source: RNAcentral